This 1050-nucleotide ribosomal RNA is filed under the name Bacillaceae bacterium OS-1. RNAcentral's name for it is "bacterial SSU rRNA". It matches the Rfam family "Bacterial small subunit ribosomal RNA", at positions 31 to 1064 of the family's 1533-position model. The record is from RNAcentral. Lineage: Bacteria; Bacillati; Bacillota; Bacilli; Caryophanales; Bacillaceae.
CAGUUCUGGAAGCUACAGAGUAUAAUGCAGUCGAGCGGACCGACGGGAGCUUGCUCCCUUAGGUCAGCGGCGGACGGGUGAGUAACACGUGGGUAACCUGCCUGUAAGACUGGGAUAACUCCGGGAAACCGGGGCUAAUACCGGAUGCUUGAUUGAACCGCAUGGUUCAAUCAUAAAAGGUGGCUUUUAGCUACCACUUGCAGAUGGACCCGCGGCGCAUUAGCUAGUUGGUGAGGUAACGGCUCACCAAGGCGACGAUGCGUAGCCGACCUGAGAGGGUGAUCGGCCACACUGGGACUGAGACACGGCCCAGACUCCUACGGGAGGCAGCAGUAGGGAAUCUUCCGCAAUGGACGAAAGUCUGACGGAGCAACGCCGCGUGAGUGAUGAAGGUUUUCGGAUCGUAAAACUCUGUUGUUAGGGAAGAACAAGUACCGUUCGAAUAGGGCGGCACCUUGACGGUACCUAACCAGAAAGCCACGGCUAACUACGUGCCAGCAGCCGCGGUAAUACGUAGGUGGCAAGCGUUGUCCGGAAUUAUUGGGCGUAAAGCGCGCGCAGGCGGUUUCUUAAGUCUGAUGUGAAAGCCCCCGGCUCAACCGGGGAGGGUCAUUGGAAACUGGGGAACUUGAGUGCAGAAGAGGAGAGUGGAAUUCCACGUGUAGCGGUGAAAUGCGUAGAGAUGUGGAGGAACACCAGUGGCGAAGGCGACUCUCUGGUCUGUAACUGACGCUGAGGCGCGAAAGCGUGGGGAGCGAACAGGAUUAGAUACCCUGGUAGUCCACGCCGUAAACGAUGAGUGCUAAGUGUUAGAGGGUUUCCGCCCUUUAGUGCUGCAGCAAACGCAUUAAGCACUCCGCCUGGGGAGUACGGUCGCAAGACUGAAACUCAAAGGAAUUGACAGGGGCCCGCACAAGCGGUGGAGCAUGUGGUUUAAUUCGAAGCAACGCGAAGAACCUUACCAGGUCUUGACAUCUCUGACACCCUAGAGAUAGGGCUUCCCCUUCGGGGGCAGAGUGACAGGUGGUGCAUGGUUGUCGUCAGCUCGUG